This 453-nucleotide long non-coding RNA is filed under the name Nicotiana tabacum (common tobacco). Its description in RNAcentral is "long non-coding RNA (NTAB_LNC012058)". The record is from RNAcentral. Lineage: Eukaryota; Viridiplantae; Streptophyta; Magnoliopsida; Solanales; Solanaceae.
AAAAAGACCUCCCGAUCAGUAUCCGAGAAGUGCCAAGUCAUGCAAACGACAGAUGGGAAUAAUACUCUGAUCCCCAGCAGAGAAGAGGAUCAUAAGCUGGAAAUGAAUUGAUAGCCGGAAGAAUCCCCAGCAGAGAGAGUCAUAUCGGUAACACUCCAAUCCCCGACUGAAAAAUAAAAUAAAAUGAGAGAGUCUUAUCGGUGAAAACCUCCACAGGCACCAUAAGGCGACGGAAGUUGAGAGAAAUAAAAUGAGAAAGUCUUAUCGGUGAAAACCUUCACAGGCACCAUAAGGCGACAGGAGUUGAGAGAAAUGAGAGAGUCUUAUUAGUGAAAACCCCUCGAAGGGCACUAUGAGGUGACAAGACAAGAUUGGCGGAAAGGAUCCGUAUUUGGUAAAGAGUUGAGUGCCUGUUUAUCCCCAGCAAGAUGAGGCCGUCCGAAAGAUUGAUUG